This is a small nuclear RNA of Herpailurus yagouaroundi (jaguarundi), 103 nucleotides long. The record is from RefSeq and is a predicted model, not a curated record. NCBI's taxonomy places the organism in Eukaryota, Metazoa, Chordata, Mammalia, Carnivora, Felidae.
CUACUUUGGCAAUACAUAUAAUAAAAUUGGAACAAUAUAGAGAAGAUUAGCAUGGCCCCUGUGUAAGGAUGAUAUGCAAAUUUGUGAAGCAUUCCAUACUGGA